This 512-nucleotide ribosomal RNA is filed under the name uncultured bacterium. RNAcentral's name for it is "bacterial SSU rRNA". It matches the Rfam family "Bacterial small subunit ribosomal RNA", at positions 29 to 518 of the family's 1533-position model. The record is from RNAcentral.
ACUAACGCUGGCGGCGUGCCUAACACAUGCAAGUCGAACGAUUCUUUGAUUAUAGCAAUAUUAUUAAAGAGGAGUGGCGAACGGGUGAGUAACACGUAGAUAAUCUGCCUUCAGACGGGGACAACUCAGGGAAACUUGUGCUAAUACCCGAUGAGACCACAAGAAGGGAUUUUUGUGGCCAAAGGCGGGCAGCAAUGCUCGUGCUGAAAGAUGAGUCUGCGUCCUAUCAGCUAGUUGGUGGGGUAAAUGCCUACCAAGGCUAAGACGGGUAGCCGGCCUGAGAGGGUGAACGGCCACACUGGGACUGAGACACGGCCCAGACUCCUACGGGAGGCAGCAGUGAGGAAUUUUCCGCAAUGGGCGCAAGCCUGACGGAGCGACGCCGCGUGAGGGAUGAACAGCUUUCGGGUUGUAAACCUCUUUUAUUAAGGAAAAAGAUCUAUAUGCUAAUAUCAUGUAGAUUUGAUGGUACUUAUUGAAUAAGCCCCGGCUAACUACGUGCCAGCAGCGGC